UACAGAGGUCUCAAGCGUUGUUCGGAUUCAUUGGGCGUAAAGGGUGCGUAGGCGGCGCGGUAAGUCGGGUGUGAAAUCUCGGGGCUUAACUCCGAAACUGCAUUCGAUGCUGCCGUGCUUGAGGACUGGAGAGGAGACUGGAAUUUACGGUGUAGCGGUGAAAUGCGUAGAUAUCGUAAGGAAGACCAGUGGCGAAGGCGGGUCUCUGGACAGUUCCUGACGCUGAGGCGCGAAAGCUAGGGGAGCAAACGGG
RNAcentral lists this ribosomal RNA (253 nucleotides) under uncultured bacterium. RNAcentral's name for it is "partial 16S ribosomal RNA". It matches the Rfam family "Bacterial small subunit ribosomal RNA", at positions 524 to 776 of the family's 1533-position model. The record is from RNAcentral.